This 500-nucleotide ribosomal RNA is filed under the name uncultured soil bacterium. RNAcentral's name for it is "bacterial SSU rRNA". It matches the Rfam family "Bacterial small subunit ribosomal RNA", at positions 26 to 517 of the family's 1533-position model. The record is from RNAcentral.
AGAUUGAACGCUGGCGGCAGGCCUAACACAUGCAAGUCGAGCGGUAGAGAGGUGCUUGCAUCUCUUGAGAGCGGCGGACGGGUGAGUAAUGCCUAGGAAUCUGCCUAGUGGUGGGGGAUAACGUUCGGAAACGGACGCUAAUACCGCAUACGUCCUACGGGGGAAAGCGGGGGACCUUCGGGCCUCGCGCCAUUAGAUGAGCCUAGGUCGGAUUAGCUAGUUGGUGAGGUAAUGGCUCACCAAGGCGACGAUCCGUAACUGGUCUGAGAGGAUGAUCAGUCACACUGGAACUGAGACACGGUCCAGACUCCUACGGGAGGCAGCAGUGGGGAAUAUUGGACAAUGGGCGAAAGCCUGAUCCAGCCAUGCCGCGUGUGUGAAGAAGGUCUUCGGAUUGUAAAGCACUUUAAGUGGAAGGAAGGUUGUAAACCUAAUACGUUGACAACGUUUGACGUUAACCGACAGAAUAAGCAACCGGCUAAACUCGUGCCAGCAAGCCG